Molecule: ribosomal RNA, 494 nt
Filed under: uncultured bacterium
Lineage: Bacteria
Description: partial 16S ribosomal RNA
Rfam family: Bacterial small subunit ribosomal RNA
Source: RNAcentral
GACGAACGCUGGCGGCGUGCUUAACACAUGCAAGUCGAACGGUGAAGCGCCUUUCUUUUUGGUGGGUGUGGAGGAGUGGCGAACGGGAGAGUAACACGUGAGUAACCUGCCCCCUUCUUCUGCAUAACCGCAUGAAAGUGUGGCUAAUAUGGGAUCUCCUGUGUCUGUCGCAUGAUGGGUCUGGGUAAGCUAUUGUUUCGGUGGGGGAUGGGCUCGCGGCCUAUCAGCUUGUUGGUGGUGAGAUGGCCUACCAAGGGGGGGGGGGGUCGCAGGCAUGGGUGGAUGGACGGUCAGACUGGGAGUGAGGCUAGUGCAGGACUCCUAUGGGAGGCAGCAGAGGAGGAUAUUGCACAAUGGGCAAAAUCGUGCUACGGCGACGACGCGUGAGGGGUGGAGCCGUUCGGGUUGUGAACCUCUUUCGCCAGUGAAGCAAGUCUGCCUCGGAUGUGGGUGGAGUGACGGUAACUGGAUAAGAAGCGCCGGCUAACUACGUG